GGCGCUGGAAUAGAGAGAGGCGCUGGAAUAGAGAGAGGCGCUGGAAUAGAGAGAGGCGCUGGAAUAGAGACAUGGCAAUGUUCUGCCAGGCAGCACAAAAGGUUCAUUCCGGGUAGCAGGAGGGGUUACAAGAAGAAGAAUAAACCCACAAACCAACUUCUUGAUGCUGGUCAACAGCUUGUGUGGCUUCUCCAAUUUUUCCUGGGAAUUGUCCUAAUCGUUCUGCCUCUGAUAUAUAUCUCUUUCUCCUCACACAUGUUUGAUGAGACAUGUGUCCGUACCGAUGUCAUGGAGAAAGUCAUUUCAAAAUACGCCUCACAUAUUGAUCAUACCUGAGAAUAUCCGUUAGACAAUGGAUUUUUAUUAUUUUCUUGCAAUCAUACCAUUAGAUGUUAAAUAAAAUGAUGUAAUGAUGUAUUAAUUUCCAAAAUAAAUGAGCACUUUGCAUCACUUG
Long non-coding RNA from Spea bombifrons (plains spadefoot toad), 454 nucleotides. RefSeq lists it as uncharacterized. NCBI's taxonomy places the organism in Eukaryota, Metazoa, Chordata, Amphibia, Anura, Pelobatidae. The record is from RefSeq and is a predicted model, not a curated record. The transcript has 2 exons.